Molecule: long non-coding RNA, 4406 nt
Organism: Phasianus colchicus (ring-necked pheasant)
Lineage: Eukaryota; Metazoa; Chordata; Aves; Galliformes; Phasianidae
Source: RefSeq, a predicted model, not a curated record
UCACCACUCUUGUAGUAAAGAACUUCCCCCUGACAUCCAACCUAAAUCUUCCCUCCUUCAACUUAAAACCAUUUAAAACGAAAUACAGCUUUUAGCAGUGACCAAGCAACAAGUGGCAAAAAAAAAAUAAAUCAUGUGAGCUCACAAUUGUGCAUGUGAGCUCUCUAGCAGCAAUAGGUGCAGGAAAAAAAAAAAAAGAAAAAAAAAAAAGAAAACUCACAUCAGUGCCUUGCAGCAAAAGUGAUACGCCCUAAAGCUUUCUUUAAAUGCUUUUUUGGGCUGUAUUGAACAAGUGUUUCUGGUUGCUUCUGCUCAGCUCCUGCUCUGAGCCCUCCUGAGUGCAGUUGUCAUUGCACUGGGUGCGAUGCAGAAACUAUUUCAGGACAGUAAAUUCUGCCUGAAGUCAACCCUCCGUCUUGGAGGGCUUUUUUUGUUUUAUUUCUCUUUUUCAGACAAAAGGAUGAGGGUUCAAACCUAGUUAGGACCUGGUUUACAGCAAAGGGCUUUGCAAAGGGAGGACAGCGGUGCUGUGGGUGGGGUGCUGGUGGUAACUGGGUGAGUUAAAGACAGAUAGUUUGGGAAAUGGGAGUUGCAAACACAUUGCCUGACCACGAUGAAUGUGUGGGAAGGAUGAGAGCCUGGUUUAAACCCAGUUCCCCAAGCUAGAAGCAAAAUCCUCAGGGAUCCUUCUGUGACGGGGGUGACAGGUCCCUGGGAAGUCCUCAUAGGGCCAGAUGAGGGUGUGAGAUGGACUGCAAAGGAGCCCUUUACCCCGAUGUUCCUGCUUAAAAUCUCAGGGAUGACAUUUAAUUCAUGGAUCCAUCUUGCCUAAACCAAAGAAUCAGAUACAACCGCAACUCUUCUUCCAAGCUACUAUAAUGUUUUUCCAUUGGAAAGCACCAGGAGGAGGUCCCUAUGGCUCACCUAUGAGAGCACCCCGUGGGGCACUAACUGAGGUGAGAAAAGUUACAGUCUGAACCUCUCCUGUAAUUCUCAAGAAAGAAAACUAAGUUGAACAUAACAUUCUGAACCUGCAAUGUCUACCAGAGCGGGAACAUUUCUCAACGCUGCCUGAAAGUCUGCUCAGAAAUGGGUCCGAGAGGUUUGAGCAAUGUCCUGUGAAAGUUCCUGACCUCACAAGGCAAGAGCAAAACAGAUCUCACCCCAUAAACUGCUAAAUCAGACAGAUAGCUGACUCCCUGGGCUGCAGAGACAGACACAGGGUUUUUAAAUGGUUAGAGGGCAAUUGCAUGGCAAGCAGUUGGGAAUAUUCCAGUCUUGGGAAUCUGAUAUUGUUUCUUCUUGGCAUGAAAUGUGUCUGUAGAACUUCAGGCUUGGUCCCAACAGAAUGGGUCAAAGGGUGCAGAUACGCCAAAGCCAAACUCUAGGUGGUGGCACUGCCACUGACUCCACGAUAUUCGUGUUAGCCUGGCACUGGGCUGCACCUCCUCCUCCCAGGGACUUCCAGUUAUAUCAAACCAACAUCUCCCACUCUGUCCCCAUACUUUUUUCAAUGGGAAAUCCCUCACUGAAGCCCUGGGGUUGAUUUAGUGUGUGAUGCCACAAGAUGGUACACCUGACUUCAGGUGACCUGGUCCCUUACCAAGAUGCCACAGUCCCCUCAGAGAAAGCAUCCAAGACGAAAUCCUGCUAGUUGGAAAGAAAAGUGUUUACACUAUUACUGUAUCCCAAGUGAGCCAGAUCAGACAGCACCUGCCCUGCUGCCAGCAUAACCCUGCCAUAUGCUGCCACAGUGCCUUCUCCAGGCACAUCAGCAGAAAUGGAUCACACCACAUCCACACCUAAUCCUAAGUGAUAAAGCAAAUCAAAGAUCCAGCCAUAAUCCCACUCUUUUGGGGCAGGUUGUGUUAAUUAGGAGCUUAAUUGCCAGCCCAGUAGUGCAUAUGGGAUGCAGCCCUCCAGGUGCAUAGGGAACACCCUACAGAGCAGCCCAUUCAACUCAUUUAAAGCACAAGAUGGUCACCCUCCGGAAAUCACAGCCUCUCAUUAUCCUGUGGACUCUGCUAUCGAAUUAUUUCCUAACAUCUUAUUUGCACCUGCCUUUCAUUAAGAGCCUGGAUCGUUAUCUCAUCAUUGCAGAUUAUUAAAUCCAACAAUGGCAAAGGCUGUGGCCUUUCAUUCUGGGACUGACUCACCUUGUGAUGUAACACGGACAACCUCAGCAUCACUAUGGCAACCACUGGGCUUCUCAAAGAGUACUGAUGUCAUGAAGCCAGAUGCUGGGGGACGGUGUGUGGAAUCUCUCAAAGAAGUGGGAGAAACUACAACACAGUCACAGAACUGCAAAUAUUAAAAGUUAGCCCCAGGGCAGCUGGGGUUAGGGAGAAAGGAGACAGGAGGGAGUCAGGAAGAAGCUUUGAUGAGGAGCUGCAUUUCGAAACUGCGUACGUGCUGGUGAUCUUUCCACACCCUUGUGAGCACAUCUGCCAUAUCGACAACUCGCUCAUCCCUGCUUCCUUGCAGAGCUGGAGUGAUACAGGUGAUUGUUUCCCAACAGCAUCCCACAUAUCUCAGCUCCAAAAGCCAUGAUUGGGACCAACACCACUGCUUGGGUUGAGCUGUUCCUUGGGUCAGCCUCUCUAAAGGUUCACCUCUCCGUUUGACUGAUGGAAAUCACAAGCCAUCAAGAAGCAAGGAGCUUUCAGUGUCCCACUUUUGCUUUUAAACCUGAGACCUACAGGGACUGCUUUUAGGACAUCUGUGAAAACCUAGGAGGCAGUAUGGUCAAUAGGUUGAAAGUCAGACUAAGAAAAUCCACAGCUACACUGAAAAAAUGUCCAAGAACCGGCCAGCUGAAAGGCCACUGUGAAAUGGCAAAGAUUUCUGAAUCCUCUGAACCAAGAACAGAAAUAAUCAAGAGAUGAAAAACUCUGGUUGAGGACCUGCUCAUCACACAAUGGACAACUGAAUUUUGCUUUUUCCUUCAUUGACAUUUUCCAAUCAGACACGAAAAAUAUUUAUCUGGAAUUCUGGGACAAGCUGAAAUAAUAUGCUGCCAAACAUAUUUUCUCAAAUAUAUUUAUGUUUUUGUUCUUUUCCUCACAACUACAAGCUGUUAACAAAUUCGAAGGAAAAAGUCAGAAGCACAUUGGCUAUUCUAUUGACCAUGAGUUGUCCCUGCUAAAUAUGAUGGAAAAGGGUGGAAAAUGCAUUCUCAUUAUAACUGCUUCAAUAUUUCUGGUCACAUUACCCAUCAGGAGCCCAGAGCAAAACUCCUUUCCUUAAGGAGGCUGCAAUUCUACCUUCCUCCUCCUCAAAACCCAAGCGAAUGACUAUAGGAGAUAUGUGUUUAUCUCACAUGUUCAUCCACAACGUGUGAGUGAGCCCAGCAUGUCUCCAUUUGAGCCUUCAGAGACAGGAAGGUCAGAGCAAGGGUUUCACAUUUCCCAGCCCGGCUGUUUACUCAGUGUUCAGGAGGCAUUAAAACAACUGCUAGAGCACAGCCUGAGUCAACACAAGCUCCGACAGCCGCCCAGGCAGACUCUCCUGCCAACUUCCCAAUAAAGAAAGGGAACGGUGCUCAGGCUGAAGGCACAACCUUCCUUUGCUUCCUGUCAUGCUUUUGUCGCCUGGGCUUGCAUAACACAAAGUGUUGGGCCCUUGUGGAUGCCCUGUAGAUUGGACAGACCCUUGGGUUGCACAGACUCUUGGGUCAGACAGGCUUUUGGGUCAGACAGACUCUUGGGUUGCCCAGCCCAUGCAUUGAGUCAAUGGGAACCCCAGUUUCCUGCACCCACGGGGAUGCUGACACUCAUGGAGCCCAGAGCAUUUCUCACAGCUCCAGCUAUGCAAGGUAAAGAUAAAGGUUGUCGCUACUGAGGACCCCAUCAGUGUGAGAUGAAGGCAGCUAAAAAGACCUGAAAGCCCACCUCCAUGCAGCCUACCAAACCCAGACAAGCAUAGCUCCCUUGGUUGUGGAACACAUGCUGGGUCACAUGAGAUAGCCUUCUGAUGCUGCUUAAAAAUCUGGUCCUUUUGCAUUCAGAAAGACUCAAGUCAUCGAUGAGGAGGGGUGACUAAGUCCUGGCACUGGCGCACACCAGCCACAUCCCACAUUGCUUUGUUUUGUCUUGUUUGCUGUUAGCCACCGUGGCCAUGGCACCAACCCAACCCCACGGCUGCAAUCCACAGCCCAAACCAGAAAAGGUAAUCACAGAUUUUCCAAAAUUCGGCACUGAGACAGGAAAUCCCUACCUAGGAAAGGCCAUUUUCCACCCACUGUCCUCUACCAAGGAGUUACGAAAACUGCUGUCAUUGCAACAACAAUUUGUUGAGCACUUUUUAAAGUUUUAUAAAAUCACAUUCAGAUUCAUAACGCUGAUGUGUUUGACUUGGGUUGGUUUCUGAGCAGCUAAGCUGCACCCAAAAAUUACCAAAAAAAGAAA